RNAcentral lists this ribosomal RNA (445 nucleotides) under uncultured bacterium. RNAcentral's name for it is "partial 16S ribosomal RNA". It matches the Rfam family "Bacterial small subunit ribosomal RNA", at positions 354 to 796 of the family's 1533-position model. The record is from RNAcentral.
GUGAGGAAUAUUGGUCAAUGGGCGGGAGCCUGAACCAGCCAAGUCGCGUGAAGGAAGAAGGAUCUAUGGUUCGUAAACUUCUUUUGCAGGGGAAUAAAGUGCAGGACGUGUCCUGUUUUGUAUGUACCCUGAGAAUAAGGAUCGGCUAACUCCGUGCCAGCAGCCGCGGUAAUACGGAGGAUCCGAGCGUUAUCCGGAUUUAUUGGGUUUAAAGGGGGCGGAGGUGGUUUGAUAAGUCAGCGGGGAAAGUUUGCAGCUUAACUGUUAAAAUGCCGUUGAAACUGUCGGACUUGAGUGUAAAUGAGGUAGGCGGAAUGCGUGGUGUAGCGGUGAAAUGCAUAGAUAUCACGCAGAACUCCGAUUGCGAAGGCAGCUUACUAAGCUACAACUGACACUGAAGCACGAAAGCGUGGGGAUCAAACAGGAUUAGAUACCCCGGUAGUCC